CCAGCAGCCGCGGUAAUUCCAGCUCCAAUAGCGUAUAUUAAAGUUGUUGCAGUUAAAAAGCUCGUAGUUGGAUUUCUGGGAGGGUGCCAAUGUCCGUCAUGUACGUGCGCAGCGGCGCCCUUCCAUCCUUCUGUUAACGCUUCUCGGCAUUCAUUUGCUGGUGGCGGGCUCAGAUAUUUUACCUUGAGAAAAUUAGAGUGUUUCAGGCAGGCUAGGCCGGAAUACAUUAGCAUGGAAUAAUGGAAUAGGACUACGGUCUCUUUGUUGGUUUGAGGGACUAUAGUAAUGAUUAAUAGGGAUAGUUGGGGGCAUUAGUAUUUAAUUGUCAGAGGUGGAAUUCUCAG
RNAcentral lists this ribosomal RNA (344 nucleotides) under uncultured eukaryote. RNAcentral describes it as "SSU rRNA". It matches the Rfam family "Eukaryotic small subunit ribosomal RNA", at positions 567 to 923 of the family's 1831-position model. The record is from RNAcentral.